UCUGACAUAGGAAAUAAAUAAUUCUCUCGUUCCUUUUCUCCAUCAAGAAAGGAAAAGGAGGGGAUAGUCUUUGGGCCUCCAGCCCAGGUCAGGCAGGGAUCAUUCCCAGGUGAAGCAGGGAAAGGGAGCAGGCAAGAAUCUAGAAAGAGAACAGCUCUUCAAGGGAGGGACUGGAGCUCCUGUCUCCGACAACCAACAGCCUUCCUGCACAUUUCACCUGCUCUCCUCCAGCCUGGCCUGCCCUGGAACAUCCUCUCCCUGGCCACCAUCCCUCACCAGGCCAUACUCAUCUAGUCUCCUUCCUCCUUCUCCUGGAACUCUCCCUUUCUCAGCCAGAUCACUGGGAUCCUCCCUCCUCCUUCUCCUGGAACUCUCCCUUUCUCAGCCAGAUCACUGGGUGGGGAUUUCCACCUGCUCGUGAAAAACGCUGUGACUGCCUCACCGCUGCCCCCUCCCCACCUCAGCCCCAGCUGCUUCUCUGGGGACGGCUUGUUUGUUCUGAAGCUCUGUGGCUGCCUGUGACCUCGAGGAGGGGGAGUGCUAUGGGGUCAGACCGACCCCUCACAUCUUGGGUCUGGUGCUUUCCGAAGCCCUUUCCCAGCUCUGGUGACACCAGAGUCCCUGGGAGCCCAACAGGCCAGGUCCCGUUAUCAGCAUCUUACGAAGGAGUAAAACAAGGUCCACAGGCAGCAGGAGGCACAAGCCAAUCAGCAGCAGGAUCGGGCCCAGAACUUCAGUCAGUCCUCUUCCCACAAACCCAGCCUGCCUCCCAAGGCGGGCCACAAAUCAGCGGCUUCUCACCCUGGCAAUCCCAGAAGCGUCCCUCCCCUCCCGCAGGCAGUCCAGAGCUAAGAGGUAGGACCAUGAAACAGUAAUAACUAACCAUGAUGGCCUGCGUGCCAAGCUGUGUGAUAAGCCCUUUAGUUAUUAUCUUACUUGGCCCUCACUUGGGAAGUGGUUCUAUUAUUAUGCCCAUUUUAUAGAUAAGGGCACUGAGACAGGGAGGGACUCUCCAGAGCACACGGUUAGUGAGUGUCCGAGGAGAACCGCCAAGGCUGGUUUUUCGGGCUCCGAAGCCAUCCCACAGAACUGCUUUUCUUGGCUGGUGUUAUAUUUGGUCUGGCUGAGCUCACAGAAGUCAGAUGCCAUCAAAGCGUCGGGUCGCUUAGAACGCAGCCGAGCAGGGGAGCGGAGCCGCGUACAUUGUAAGGCGAUACGAGAAGGAAACACAGAAGCGAUCAACAAACAGGAAUGACCAACAGAAGGAUUUCAGAGAUGCCUGGAGAGACUUACACGAACUGAUGCUGAGUGAAAUGAGCAGGACCAGGAGAUCAUUAUACACUUCAAUAACAAUACUAUAUGAGGAUCAAUUCUGAUGGAUGUGGCCCUCUUCAAGAAUGAGAAGAUCCAAAUCAGUUCCAAUUGACCUGUAAUGAACAGAACCAGCUACACCCAGAGAAAGAACACUGGGAAAUGAGUGUGAAUCACCAUAAUAAUACUCUUUCUGGUAUUGUUUGCUUGCAUUUUUGUUUUUUUCUUCCCAGGUUACUUUUUACCUUCUUUCUAAAUGCAAUCUAUCCUGUGCAACAAGAUAACUAUAUAAGUCUGUAUACAUAUAUUGUAUUUAACAUAUACUUUAACAUAUCUAACAUGUAUGGAACUAUCUGCCAUCUAGGGGAAGGGAUGGAGGGAAAGAGGGAAAAAGUUGAAACAGAAGUUUUUGCAAAGGUCAAUGUUGAAAAAUUACCCGUGCAUGUGUUUUGUAUACAAAAAGCCAUAAUAAAAAAAGUUAAAUCUAUAUAUAA
Molecule: long non-coding RNA, 1805 nt
Organism: Antechinus flavipes (yellow-footed antechinus)
Lineage: Eukaryota; Metazoa; Chordata; Mammalia; Dasyuromorphia; Dasyuridae
Exons: 2
Source: RefSeq, a predicted model, not a curated record